UUAAGCGGAAGGACUUAAAAUUGUAAUGUUGUGUAUUGAUUAAUGCAGAUUAUCAGCCGAAUUAUCCGUUAAUUUUUAUUUAUAAUGAAUAUUAAUUAAGGUAGCAUUAAAAUACUUAAAUUUUUGUACAGCUUACGUCGCGGGCCAGGUGCUAAUGCUCAAGACCAGUCUGGUUAUACGUCAUUACAUCACGCAGCGCUCAACGGGCAUAAAGAAAUUGUGUCAUUAUUAUUGCAAUAUGAGGCAUCUACCAACGUCGUUGAUCACAAAGGUUCUACGCCCCUACACUUAGCUGCUUGGACAGGAAAUACUGAAAUUGUGAAGAUCUUACUGGAGCAGGGACCAUCUGUGCCCAAUGUUAAUUUAGCUUUAAUUAAUGAGAAUCGUUUUGUAUUCAAAGAAGUG
Long non-coding RNA from Centruroides sculpturatus (bark scorpion), 405 nucleotides. RefSeq lists it as uncharacterized. The record is from RefSeq and is a predicted model, not a curated record. The transcript is spliced from 3 exons. Lineage: Eukaryota; Metazoa; Arthropoda; Arachnida; Scorpiones; Buthidae.